CCUCAUAGCUCAGUAGGUAAAGAAUCUGCCUGCAAUGCAGGAGACCUGGGUUCAAUCCCAGGGUCAGGA
RNAcentral lists this transfer RNA (69 nucleotides) under Bos taurus (domestic cattle). It matches the Rfam family "tRNA". Rfam says of the family: Transfer RNA (tRNA) molecules are approximately 80 nucleotides in length. Their secondary structure includes four short double-helical elements and three loops (D, anti-codon, and T loops). The record is from Rfam by way of RNAcentral. RNAcentral also lists the same sequence under 3 other names. Lineage: Eukaryota; Metazoa; Chordata; Mammalia; Artiodactyla; Bovidae.